RNAcentral lists this ribosomal RNA (253 nucleotides) under uncultured bacterium. RNAcentral describes it as "partial 16S ribosomal RNA". It matches the Rfam family "Bacterial small subunit ribosomal RNA", at positions 524 to 776 of the family's 1533-position model. The record is from RNAcentral.
UACGUAGGGUGCGAGCGUUGUCCGGAAUUAUUGGGCGGAAAGGGCUCGUAGGCGGUUUGUCGCGUCGGGCGUGAAAACUCAGGGCUUAACCCUGAGCCUGCUCCCGAUACGGGCAGACUAGAGGUAUGCAGGGGAGAACGGAAUUCCUGGUGUAGCGGUGAAAUGCGCAGAUAUCAGGAGGAACACCGGUGGCGAAGGCGGUUCUCUGGGCAUUACCUGACGCUGAGGAGCGAAAGUGUGGGGAGCGAACAGG